Molecule: ribosomal RNA, 253 nt
Filed under: uncultured bacterium
Lineage: Bacteria
Description: partial 16S ribosomal RNA
Rfam family: Bacterial small subunit ribosomal RNA
Source: RNAcentral
UACGUAGGGGGCGAGCGUUGUCCGGAAUUACUGGGCGUAAAGAGAGCGUAGGCGGCACUACAAGUCUCAUGUGAAAUACCCGGGCUUAACUUGGGGGUUGCAUGGGAAACUGUAGAGCUUGAGUACAGGAGAGGCAAGCGGAAUUCCUAGUGUAGCGGUGAAAUGCAUAGAUAUUAGGAGGAACACCAGUGGCGAAGGCGGCUUCCUGGUCUGCAACUGACACUGAGGCGCGAAAGCGUGGGGAGCAAACAGG